UACGGAGGGUGCAAGCGUUAUCCGGAUUCACUGGGUUUAAAGGGUGCGUAGGCGGACUAAUAAGUCAGUGGUGAAAGCCGGUAGCUUAACUAUCGAACUGCCAUUGAAACUGCUAGUCUCGAGUACGGUUGAGGUGGCUGGAAUGUAUCAUGUAGCGGUGAAAUGCUUAGAUAUGAUACAGAACACCAAUUGCGAAGGCAAGUCACUAAACCGUAACUGACGCUGAGGCACGAAAGCGUGGGGAGCAAACAGG
This 253-nucleotide ribosomal RNA is filed under the name uncultured bacterium. RNAcentral describes it as "partial 16S ribosomal RNA". It matches the Rfam family "Bacterial small subunit ribosomal RNA", at positions 524 to 776 of the family's 1533-position model. The record is from RNAcentral.